AUGAUAUACCCUACCGAGAGUUCAUUGCUCUUGAGGUGCAACGGAGAACGACGAGGAUUCGCGCGAGAACGUCGGAAAGAGAGGGAGAAACGGAGAGGGAGACGCGAACUGGCAUUGGCACGAUGGAGAGAGACAAAAACGGAGACGCACAGCACGGAAGACGAAAGGGAACGAGCGAAAGAGACUAACCGAUGGUACGAACAAGACACUGUCAAGGAGCUCUGAAAAGUCGAAGGAAGGGCGGAGAAAGACGGAUCGAGAGCGCACCGUUCCGAGUCAAGACCACACCACUCUCGAUGUUUUCGUUUUCUCUGGUCGCACGCACAUGUUCGAAGGAAAUGGCAAGGCCGGUAGGAAGCGAUUGGGUUAAACGCUCUUCUAACGAAUGUCCGUCGGCGAGUAUCGGUUUCGUGCUAACGUAACAACACGUUACGCUUUAUAUCCGUACGUGGUCAAACUGCGUGCUGCUCGCGAGACAUCGGCUACGAUCGUAACCUCGAAAACUGGAUUAUAUCAAAGGAUAAACGACGAGUAUACGGGCGUGUAAAAAAUCCGGAAACGUAUCGAAAAGGUGAACGCCAUACGAAGACAAGAAACGAGUAUCUGGUUGCAUGAAUAUUAAUAAAGCACGUUAACUCGACACACGACUCUGUCGUGCUUAUAUUACACUCGGAAGUAGCCGGCAAUUAUUCAAAACCAAUGACCACGUUGAAGAGAUCCUUCUGAGUAGCCGGCCAUUUGUAUGAGAGUUCGACGUUUUAAACGAUCAAGCGCGUGAAAUAAAAAAUGCAAUCUUUUUCAGAUACCUAACAGCUUUUAAACUUUAUCUUCCAAGAGAUGUUUUAGACGCUAGAACGUUUUUCAAGAAUAAUCAUUUGUCUAAAAUGUUCUGUAAUUAUGUAAGCUUGGAACUGUUACAUUAUU
Molecule: long non-coding RNA, 924 nt
Organism: Bombus pyrosoma
Lineage: Eukaryota; Metazoa; Arthropoda; Insecta; Hymenoptera; Apidae
Exons: 3
Source: RefSeq, a predicted model, not a curated record